This 253-nucleotide ribosomal RNA is filed under the name uncultured bacterium. RNAcentral describes it as "partial 16S ribosomal RNA". It matches the Rfam family "Bacterial small subunit ribosomal RNA", at positions 524 to 776 of the family's 1533-position model. The record is from RNAcentral.
GACGUAGGAUGCAAGCGUUGUCCGGAUUUAUUGGGCGUAAAGAGUUCGUAGGCGGUUCGUUAAGUUUGGUGUUAAAGACCGGGGCUCAACCUCGGGACCGCACUGAAUACUGGCGGACUGGAGUGCAGUAGAGGCAAGCGGAAUUCCCAGUGUAGCGGUGAAAUGCGUAGAUAUUGGGAAGAACACCGGUGGCGCAAGCGGCUUGCUGGGCUGUUACUGACGCUGAGGAACGAAAGCUAGGGGAGCGAAUGGG